Molecule: transfer RNA, 77 nt
Filed under: Pseudomonas aeruginosa
Lineage: Bacteria; Pseudomonadati; Pseudomonadota; Gammaproteobacteria; Pseudomonadales; Pseudomonadaceae
Description: tRNA-Gly
Rfam family: tRNA
About the family: Transfer RNA (tRNA) molecules are approximately 80 nucleotides in length. Their secondary structure includes four short double-helical elements and three loops (D, anti-codon, and T loops). Further hydrogen bonds mediate the characteristic L-shaped molecular structure. tRNAs have two regions of fundamental functional importance: the anti-codon, which is responsible for specific mRNA codon recognition, and the 3' end, to which the tRNAs corresponding amino acid is attached (by aminoacyl-tRNA synthetases). tRNAs cope with the degeneracy of the genetic code in two manners: having more than one tRNA (with a specific anti-codon) for a particular amino acid; and 'wobble' base-pairing, i.e. permitting non-standard base-pairing at the 3rd anti-codon position.
Source: RNAcentral
GCGGGAAUAGCUCAGUUGGUAGAGCACGACCUUGCCAAGGUCGGGGUCGCGAGUUGUAAGCGAACGGGCAUCACACC